RNAcentral lists this ribosomal RNA (468 nucleotides) under uncultured bacterium. Its description in RNAcentral is "partial 16S ribosomal RNA". It matches the Rfam family "Bacterial small subunit ribosomal RNA", at positions 28 to 507 of the family's 1533-position model. The record is from RNAcentral.
GACGAACGCUGGCGGCGUGCUUAACACAUGCAAGUCGAACGGAAAGGCCCUGCUUUUGUGGGGUGCUCGAGUGGCGAACGGGUGAGUAACACGUGAGUAACCUGCCCUUGACUUUGGGAUAACUUCAGGAAACUGGGGCUAAUACCGGAUAGGAGCUCCUGCUGCAGGGUGGGGGUGGGAAAGUUUCGGCGGUUGGGGCUGGACUGGCGGCUUAUCAGCUUGUUGGUGGGGUAGUGGCUUACCAAGGCUUUGACGGGUAGCCGGCCUGAGAGGGUGAGCGGCCCCAUUGGGACUGAUAUACGGCCCAGACUCCUACGGGAGGCAGCAGUGGGGAAUAUUGCACAAUGGGCGGACGCCUGAUGCAGCAACGCCGCGUGCGGGAUGACGGCCUUCGGGUUGUAAACCGCUUUCGCCUGUGACGAAGCGUGAGUGACGGUAAUGGGUAAAGAAGCACCGGCUAACUACGUG